Molecule: unclassified non-coding RNA, 910 nt
Filed under: Hevea brasiliensis (rubber tree)
Lineage: Eukaryota; Viridiplantae; Streptophyta; Magnoliopsida; Malpighiales; Euphorbiaceae
Source: RNAcentral
UCUCCGUCCACUCCGAUCAUGGAGAAGCUGAGGAGAGUGGUGAACGAGAUUGCCUAUACGCAAGACCACGCCAAGCUCUCUACACUGAACCGCUCGUUACUUCCUGUACUCAAAGUCGUGUCCUCUCUCUACAGGGUCGCACUUUAUCUGCGCCUGUAUCUCUAUCAUUUUGGCCUCUUGUCUAAGCACCGGUUGCCAGUGCCAGUGAUAAGUGUUGGCAAUUUAACGUGGGGAGGCAAUGGGAAGACGCCAAUGGUUGAGUUUAUUGCCGAAUGGUUAGCCGAUUCUGAAAUUUCACCUCUUAUUCUUACCAGGGUAGUUACUUUUUCUCACAAAGUUGUUCUUUUUCUUUGAUACUUUAAUGUUCAAUACAAAUGGAUGACUGGUAUGGAAAUGGCAUCUAUUUAUUGUGUACAAAUUGAUGGAGCGAGAAACGGCAAGUCCAUGUUCUUGAUUUUGUCUCAUCCACAAGUUAAAAUGGGUGAGAGGAGAGCUAUUAUUAUACUCAGUAGUCAAUAGUGAAUAGUUGCAAUUGCCGAUUGUUUGUGCUAAGGGAUGAAUUAGGAUAUUAACACUGGUUAUCUGGCAGGGUUAUGCUGGAGGAGAUGAAGCUAGGAUGCUUACAAGGCAUCUUCUUGGGACACCAGCAAAGAUUGGUAUGGGAGCAAAUCGAGCUGCCACUGCUGCUUGUUUUCUCAAACAGUAUGGAUACAUAGAUCCUAAAAGUUAUUUAUUUGAGGGAGUAAAUCAGAAAGUUCAAAGUGCACUUAACCUGGGAAAAAUUGGUGUCGUUGUUCUAGAUGAUGGAAUGCAGGUAUUGAAUAUGUAAUCCCUCCAUUCUUGUGAUGGAGACUUCAUUUUGUUGCUUGUAUGACAUACCAUCAAAUGGCUGGGCUACAUAUGGAUAGCU